RNAcentral lists this ribosomal RNA (253 nucleotides) under uncultured bacterium. Its description in RNAcentral is "partial 16S ribosomal RNA". It matches the Rfam family "Bacterial small subunit ribosomal RNA", at positions 524 to 776 of the family's 1533-position model. The record is from RNAcentral.
UACGAAGGGGGCUAGCGUUGCUCGGAAUCACUGGGCGUAAAGCGCACGUAGGCGGUUUGUUAAGUCAGGGGUGAAAUCCUGGAGCUCAACUCCAGAACUGCCUUUGAUACUGGCGAUCUCGAGUCCGGGAGAGGUGAGUGGAACUGCGAGUGUAGAGGUGAAAUUCGUAGAUAUUCGCAAGAACACCAGUGGCGAAGGCGGCUCACUGGCCCGGUACUGACGCUGAGGUGCGAAAGCGUGGGGAGCAAACAGG